This is a non-coding RNA of Takifugu rubripes (torafugu), 46 nucleotides long. NCBI's taxonomy places the organism in Eukaryota, Metazoa, Chordata, Actinopteri, Tetraodontiformes, Tetraodontidae. The record is from Rfam.
AAAACGGCUCUUUUAAGAGCCACUCACUAUUUUCAAAAGCAACAUU